Molecule: ribosomal RNA, 569 nt
Filed under: uncultured Sulfurospirillum sp.
Lineage: Bacteria; Pseudomonadati; Campylobacterota; Epsilonproteobacteria; Campylobacterales; Sulfurospirillaceae
Description: bacterial SSU rRNA
Rfam family: Bacterial small subunit ribosomal RNA
Source: RNAcentral
ACACAUGCAAGUCGAACGGACUUAAGGGGCUUGCUUCUUAAGUUAGUGGCGCACGGGUGAGUAAUAUAUAGCUAACCUGCCCUUUAGUGGGGGACAACAGUUGGAAACGACUGCUAAUACCCUAUACUCCUUCUUGUCUUAAGACGAGUCGGGAAAGAUUUAUCGCUAAAGGAUGGGGCUUUAUUGUAUCAGCUAGUUGGUGAGGUAAUGGCUCACCAAGGCAAUGACGCAUACCUGGUCUGAGAGGAUGAUCAGGCACACUGGAACUGAGACACGGUCCAGACUCCUACGGGAGGCAGCAGUGGGGAAUAUUGCACAAUGGAGGAAACUCUGAUGCAGCAACGCCGCGUGGAGGAUGACGCAUUUCGGUGUGUAGACUCCUUUUAUAGGGGAAGAUAAUGACGGUACCCUAUGAAUAAGCACCGGCUAACUCCGUGCCAGCAGCCGCGGUAAUACGGAGGGUGCAAGCGUUACUCGGAAUCACUGGGCGUAAAGGAUGCGUAGGCUGGAAAUCAAGUCGAAAGUGAAAUCCAACGGCGUAACCGUUGAACUGCUUUCGAAACUGGUUA